RNAcentral lists this long non-coding RNA (448 nucleotides) under Homo sapiens (human). RNAcentral describes it as "non-protein coding lnc-COL4A1-6:1". The record is from RNAcentral. Lineage: Eukaryota; Metazoa; Chordata; Mammalia; Primates; Hominidae.
AUGUCAACCAGUGAGGCUGCCCUGAACAAAAAAAACAAAAAGAAAAAAAAAAAAGGAAAGAAAGAAACUGAUAAAAAGAGGCAUUCCAGCCCCUAUGUUAUUGAUGGAAAAAGAAAAAGAAGAAAAGCAAUCUCGCAGUACAUGUUACUUGUCGAAAAAAUUCCGGACAAGACUACCCUUGUUUUAUGUUUUCAGUAUUCUGAAAAUACCAGUGUGUGGCAGUUCUCGCAGAUGUUACCUAAAACUGCUGAACUUGACCGGCAGAAUGUUCUGCCGUUUUCUGCUCCCUCGACACUUGAUUGGAGGGCUGUCGACCUCUCCUCCCGUGGGGGCUUCCCCAGUGCCUAUCUUCUCUGAUAGUCAUGGAGAGGUUACACUAAUUCAUUGGAGAUGUAAGUUGUUGGUUUUGUUUUGUUUUGUUUUUAGAAAAAUAUAUAUAAAUAUAUAA